GGAUCCAGACUUUGAUCAUGGCUCAGGAUGAACGCUAGCUACAGGCUUAACACAUGCAAGUCGAGGGGAAACGACAUCGAAAGCUUGCUUUUGAUGGGCGUCGACCGGCGCACGGGUGAGUAACGCGUAUCCAACCUGCCCAUCACUUGGGGAUAACCUUGCGAAAGUAAGACUAAUACCCAAUGAUAUCUCUAGAAGACAUCUGAAAGAGAUUAAAGAUUUAUCGGUGAUGGAUGGGGAUGCGUCUGAUUAGCUUGUUGGCGGGGUAACGGCCCACCAAGGCGACGAUCAGUAGGGGUUCUGAGAGGAAGGUCCCCCACAUUGGAACUGAGACACGGUCCAAACUCCUACGGGAGGCAGCAGUGAGGAAUAUUGGUCAAUGGACGAGAGUCUGAACCAGCCAAGUAGCGUGCAGGAUGACGGCCCUAUGGGUUGUAAACUGCUUUUAUAAGGGAAUAAAGUGAGAGUCGUGACUCUUUUUGCAUGUACCUUAUGAAUAAGGACCGGCUAAUUCCGUGCCAGCAGCCGCGGUAAUACGGAAGGUCCGGGCGUUAUCCGGAUUUAUUGGGUUUAAAGGGAGCGUAGGCCGGAGAUUAAGCGUGUUGUGAAAUGUAGACGCUCAACGUCUGCACUGCAGCGCGAACUGGUUUCCUUGAGUACGCACAAAGUGGGCGGAAUUCGUGGUGUAGCGGUGAAAUGCUUAGAUAUCACGAAGAACUCCGAUUGCGAAGGCAGCUCACUGGAGCGCAACUGACGCUGAAGCUCGAAAGUGCGGGUAUCGAACAGGAUUAGAUACCCUGGUAGUCCGCACGGUAAACGAUGGAUGCCCGCUGUUGGUCUGAAUAGGUCAGCGGCCAAGCGAAAGCAUUAAGCAUCCCACCUGGGGAGUACGCCGGCAACGGUGCAACUCAAAUGAAUUGACGG
RNAcentral lists this ribosomal RNA (924 nucleotides) under uncultured Bacteroidota bacterium. RNAcentral's name for it is "bacterial SSU rRNA". It matches the Rfam family "Bacterial small subunit ribosomal RNA", at positions 1 to 916 of the family's 1533-position model. The record is from RNAcentral. Lineage: Bacteria; Pseudomonadati; Bacteroidota.